RNAcentral lists this long non-coding RNA (387 nucleotides) under Marmota monax (woodchuck). The record is from RNAcentral. Lineage: Eukaryota; Metazoa; Chordata; Mammalia; Rodentia; Sciuridae.
AGUAAAGCUCCACUGUGUACAUAUACCAUGCUUUUGUGAUAGUAGGAGCAAAUGUGACUCCAUUUUGUUUUAUGACUUCAUCCUGUAAAACAACCAUGCCAAGUAGAAGAGUCAUGACUGGAGCAAGAUGUUCUUUUCCUUUUGCUAUAGAAACCUUUAAGAACACAGAACUACCUAAUGGGGCAUUGUUUCUGUAACUGGGGUGACUGGGCUAACUGUGAUUGGUUAGGCUUCCCUCCGCUUGACUGCACUGUCUCGCUUCUGUAACCUGGCUUGCUUGCAUUGGCUAGACCCCCUGAACACCCCUUUUGCAGUUUUCAGGCUUAUAAGGAGUGCCCUUGGUGUUGUUCGGUGCUGAUCAGGGGAACAGCUUUAUGUUCUGGUCAG